This 133-nucleotide ribosomal RNA is filed under the name uncultured bacterium. RNAcentral describes it as "partial 16S ribosomal RNA". The record is from RNAcentral.
CACGUAGUUGGCCGGUGCUUCUUCUGUAGGUACCGUCAUUUCUUCCCUACUGAAAGCGGUUUACAACCCGAAGGCCUUCAUCCCGCACGCGGCGUUGCUGUAUCAGGCCUGCGCCCAUUGUGCAAUAUUCCCU